GCUUGUCUCAAAGAUUAAGCCAUGCAUGUUCAAGUAUAGCAAGUGUACAGUGAAACUGCGAAUGGCUCAUUAAAUCAGUUAUAAUUUAUUUGAUAGUGAAAUUGUACAUGGAUAACCGUGGCAAUUCUAGAGCUAAUACAUGCGUAAAUACCCAACUGCUUGUCGGACGGGUAGCAUUUAUUAGAUUGAAACCAAUGCAGCUUCGGCUGGUAUUGUGUUGAGUCAUAAUAACUGUGCGGAUCGCUUUUUAAGCGAUAAAUCGAUUGAGUUUCUGCCCUAUCAGCUUUGGAUGGUAGGAUAUGGGCCUACCAUGGCGUUAACGGGUAACGGGGAAUUAGGGUUUGAUUCCGGAGAGGGAGCCUUAGAAACGGCUACCACAUCCAAGGAAGGCAGCAGG
RNAcentral lists this ribosomal RNA (397 nucleotides) under uncultured Saprolegniales. Its description in RNAcentral is "partial small subunit ribosomal RNA". It matches the Rfam family "Eukaryotic small subunit ribosomal RNA", at positions 30 to 432 of the family's 1831-position model. Lineage: Eukaryota; Oomycota; Saprolegniomycetes; Saprolegniales. The record is from RNAcentral.